Pongo abelii (Sumatran orangutan) is the source of this 149-nucleotide unclassified non-coding RNA. It matches the Rfam family "Metazoan signal recognition particle RNA". Rfam says of the family: The signal recognition particle (SRP) is a universally conserved ribonucleoprotein. It is involved in the co-translational targeting of proteins to membranes. The eukaryotic SRP consists of a 300-nucleotide 7S RNA and six proteins: SRPs 72, 68, 54, 19, 14, and 9. The record is from Ensembl. NCBI's taxonomy places the organism in Eukaryota, Metazoa, Chordata, Mammalia, Primates, Hominidae.
GCUGGGUGUUGUGGUGGGCACCUGUAAUCCCAGCUACUUGGGAGGCUGAGGCAGGAGAAUUGCUUGAGCCCAAGGAGGCAGAGGUUGCAGUGAGCAGAGAUCUCACCACUGCACUCCAGCCUGGGCAACAGAGCAUGAUUCUGUCUCAA